CUCCACACAAGUCAUGAUUUUAUAGACCUCUAUCAUAUCCUCACUUAGUCAUCUCUUUUCCAAGCUGAAUAGUCCCAGUCUUUUUAAUCUCUCCUCAUAUGGAAGAUGUUCCCAACCCUUCAUCAUUUACGUUGCCCAACUCACUUUUUCCAACUCUAAUAUAUCUUUUUUGAGAUGGGAUGACCAGAACUGCACCCAGUAUUCCAGGUGUGGGCAUACCAUGGAUUUAUAUAGAGGCAAUAUGAUAUUUGCUGUCUUAUUAUCUAUCCCUUUCCUAAGGUUCCUAACAUUCUGUUAGCCUUUUAGGCUGCCGCUGCACAUAACAUGAAUGUUUUCAGCUGUGGCACAGCUUGAACAUGUAGGUCACAGUUUUUAGGGAUUAAGAAUAGAGGAGGGUGGGAAACUAUUUUUCUACCUGCCGAAAUGAACCUGAGACUUUUCAAAAGUAAACAUAUGUGUGUGUGUUUGUAUGUGAGAGCAAACAGCCUGGUGGUUAAGGCCUGCACUUGGGAUGUGGAAAACCCCAGUUCAAGAUCCUCUGCACUUUGGUUUCACAAAUCAGUGCCUUAACCACCUGGCUAUUCUGGGUUGAAUCUCUCUCAACAUUCCAUCCUGAACCCAAGAAACUUUUCCCAUCAAAACUGGUACAUUCCCAUGAAACAUUUCAGUUUCAAUUAAUUGGAAUUUUCCAAGAACAACAACAACAAAAAUCAGAAAAUUCCCAACCAGCUGUAGUAAGAAUCAUAUUUUCUGUCAUGGCUAAAGUUACACAAAUCCUAAUUUUGGAUGUUUAUGAAGUAGCAGAAAGAAAAAAUUGAAAAAGGAUGUGCAACUUCCAUUCCUUACCCUCCUAAUCUGAAUAUUCAAAUUCAGGUACUUUUUUUAAACCACAAGGAGACAAAGCUAUUAUUUGAUGCAUAUUCAAAUGAAAAGGCUUUUUAUAGCCCAAGAUAUGCAGUAGGAUGUUUUUGAACCUAUCUGAUAUUGCACAAACUACUGAGUAGAAUAACUUUUCCUUCCCACUUUUGGUAGCUCUUACCGCUAGAAUACCAAUUUCUGAACAACCUUAUUAGACUCAGACAUAUCUUUAUGCUGAUGCUGUUAUGUUUUGUUUGUUAUGUUUUGCUGAUGCUGUUUCAAUAGAUUGAAUCUCUACUUAUACUCAUUUAGAAAAUAAAAAGAUCUCUUCUCCUAUCCACGCUUACCAUCUCUUGAUAGUCUCUUCUAAAAUAACCACUGAGAGAUCAUCCCUUUUAUAAAUUUCAGUCCCCUCUGCCAGAUGAGUCACUCACCAGGGGGAACUGGUUCCUCUGGACAGCAGCCAGAUCAUUGUUCUGUGGUGCUUCCAUUUGAUUGGAAGAGCAACAGGUUGAUUAUUUGGAUUGCUAUUUUUAGCCCUUUGCUAGGUGCAGGAAUUUCUCUGGUGUGUUUUAGCUCAAAAUAGAGGUUAAGGGGCAAAAAUCCAGUUUACAAUCCAAAUGACAAUCACAAAACAAAAUGCAGUUUGUAGUUUGAUAUUGACGUGUGCAGACAUAUACCAAUCAACCACAGUUUAUUUUAAUGUAAUUAAGCUUAAAAUAGAGUGCAUACAGUGUUGUAUUAAACUUUAUCCCAGCAAUAUCUUGAAUAGAUAGAGAAGGAGGAGAGGGGCCUUCCCGAACAGUAUUGCUUCUUACUGUUUCAUGUUGUUUGUGUUUCCCCAUGCUUGGUGUGUUGUUUUCUCACCCUAUUCCUUUGUGCAUUUACAGGAUGCCUUUGUAGCUUUCCAUAUUAAUAAAACACUGAUGAGAAAGUCCAUGAACUUGCUGCUGAUUGGGGAGCUGGCACCUGGUCAACCCAGCUUUGAGUCCUGCAAAAAUGAGGAACUGUGUCUUGUAGAAGCUAUGGAUGUGGGAAACUCAUACCUCUUAAGUUGCCACCCUGACUCAGAAAAAGGUUCUGAAGAGAAGCAGUGGAGGAGCACUGGCUGUAGGGUGCUCAGACCAACUCCAGUCUCUAUCUGUCUCAGAACGCACAUACAAGAGAGUUCCAGGGCUGAUGGUUCUAGCAUGAUUUGGGGCACCUUUCAGUCUUCACCAAGUCCAAAUGGAACCACUUGUGUCAUGAGUUUGUGAUAUGCAAUCUAAAGGGGUUGUCAUCCACAUGGCGGAAUCGCCAACAUAACCAGCAUCACGCCAAAACCAACUGCUUCCCCAAGGACCCUGAUAUUCUACUACAUCACUCCCUUUUUGCCUUGGGAAAGACACUCUCUGUGGAGCUUGGGAUGAUGAAGAAGAAAUUGAUACCAUCAGCACAAAUAUUUCAUCAGAGGGAUGGGGGCCAAGCACAGACAAAGGACUCCUGUCUUGUGCAAAAGCUAUGUAAAGGGGGUGGAGCAGGAAAAAGGGGCUUCCAGUCAUGUGAAAACCCCUAGUUACCACCUGAGACGGCUGCUGGAAUUAACAAGGACUGUACCGGGGAAAGGAUUGGGCCCAGACUAGGAAGGAGUCUAGUCUGUGAAAGAAGCUUCUUGGAACAUCUCUGAGGGGUCCUGGGGAGUAUUGUAUUUUUCUGGGUAUCGCACACAAACCACGUCCCAAUGAACAUCGAUUAUGAUAAGAACACAGUCUGGUUCUCUGCCCAGCUCCAGGCAACAUGCAAUGUGAACCAGUCCUUAUUCAGCGACUGGUUCACUGGACACUUGAACUUCCAGAUUGAGCACCACCUUUUCCCCACGAUGCCUCGACACAACUACUGGCGUCCCUGGUGAAGUCCCUGUGUGCCAAGCAUGGUAUCAAGCACCAAUGCAAGCCCUUGCUCGCUGCCUUAACUGAUGUUGUACAGUGGAUUAGCUCAAAUAGUAGAGCGCUUGCUUUGAAUCAGAGUGGUGACGGCAUUGAUGCCUGCAUUCUCCAGCCUGCUCUGCUGUGGUAGGGGGAGCCAACCCUUUUUUAUUGCUUUGCUCAAGACCCUGGAACCAUCUCUGUCUCAGUGGCACCAGACACUUCAGUUGAAGGAACCACUGAAGCCCCGGACUGCAGAAGCCAGAGGCGCCGAGACCCACACGGACACCCAGAUACCUGUGGAUACCCCAGGGAGGUCCGGGCUACAGGGAGUUGCACCGGCCGAAGAACCCAGAGACAGUGAAGAUGCACAGAUCACAGACGGGAGUGACAAGGAAAGGAAGGAGGGACAGAAAAGCAGGAAAAUGAGUGAAGGCAGUGAAGCCACUGUGAAGCUGGAGCUGUUUAGACUGCAGGUUGCAGAAUACGAAAGGGAUCCCCAGAGAAUAUUGGAGCUAAAGGAUCUCAAGAUAAAAGAUAAAGAGAGAACCCGAACCAGAAACAAACACAUCUAAGGGCCCCAGAACUAAGAGCUAGAGAAUCUGAGGAAAAAGAAAGAGAUAGAAAACACCAACUGGACCUCCUAGAGAAGCAGAACCAGAACCCACCAACCCCAACGAUCCCACCACUCCAAAAAUCCACAAUUGGGACCAUUUAUGUCCUUCAUAUAAUGAAGCAGAUGAUAUUUCUGAAUAUUUGACUACCUUUGAAAGGCUGUGUGCAGUGCAUGAAAUCCCUUACGCCAAGAGAGUUCCUACCUUGAUUGUGAAAUUAACUGAUAAAGCUCUAAAUGUAUUGAAUGAAGUGCCCAUUGAGGAUGUUUUAGACUGUUAUAAAUUCAAAAAUACUGUUUUGCAAAGGUUUUAGAUUACCCCUGAAACAUAUAGAGUUAAAUUUAGGAAUCUUAAGAGGGAUAUUGUCAAGUAUCAGGGAUAUUGGCAUGAAUAAUGAGGGAAUACUGGCAUGAAAGAGGGAUAUUGGCAUGAAUAAUGGGGAAUAUGUGAACAAAAUGAAAGAAUUGAUGGGAAAAUGGGUGAGGGGCAAAGGUGUUACAAGCUGUGGGGAAUGUUUGGUCUUGUUGCUCAAGAGCAUUUCCCAGGCAUAUAAGGCAGAUGUAAAGCAGUGUCUAUGGGACAAAAAUGUAAAGUCUGUGGAUGAGAUGGCAUCUCUAGCUGAUACCUUUGAACAGACACAGGCAUCUAUUGAAAGCAAAUCACCAAAAGAGGGGGUUACACCUGGUGGGAAGGGAGGGUCCCGUUUUAUCCCUAGCAAGAAGGAGGGGGUUUGGGAGGCCAGACAUUCCCCUCCCCAAAAAAUCCCCUUACUGGUAAUUCCUAUCCCAAACCUUCUAUCAAGACAGAGGAGCCCAGAAAGUGCUACCUCUGUAAUUCCACUGAGUAGCUGUAGAUGCCCAAGCUGAGGGAAAGUAAGCUCCCACUAGCCCAUGUUAGUGCAGCUGUCCUCAGCACAGAGGCCCUGGAGGGAAACCAGACAGGAACACCCACAUCUUACCUAGCAAGUUUUGUGGGGACCCAAUACAAUAUUCCUUUUUGCUACGGGCCACCACACUAACAGUCCUAGCCUUGUGGUAGAAGUCAUUCCCCAGUAGCAUGUCCAUUACUCCUACAAUCAGAUCACUUUCCAGACCUUCCUAUGCCACGUGGAUUUUAACUAGUGGCACGGGGAAUCUGGUUUCACCCAUCCUCCACAAUCUCUACCCUUUGGCCAGGUAAUAUACUGGUAUAUAUUAUGCCAAUAUAUUGGGUUCCUGGAGGAAGGGGUUGAGGCCCCAGAAACUGCUGAGGGGAAUGGAGAAAGUCUCUCUGCUUCUCCUGCAGCAGAAGGUAGCAGCCUGCUUUCAGGUGGGAUGAAGCUCUGAAGACAGCAGCGCAGGAGUAAGGGAGGCCUGGUAUGGUAUUGCUACCCUUACUUCUGCACUGCUUCUGGUGGGGAGCUGCCUUCAGAGCUGGGCGCCCCGCUAACUGCCGCCACUCUCUGGUCACCCAACUCUGAAGGCAGCACAGAAGUAUGGGUGGCAAUAUCGUGACCCCCCUAAAAUAACCUUGUGACCCCUCUGCAACUCCCUUUUGGGUCAGGACCCCCAAUUUGAGAAACGCUGGUCUCCCUCAUUAAAUCUGUAUAGUAUAGGGUAAAAGCACACAAAAGACUAGAUUUCACAGGGGGAGACUAGAUUUCAUGGUCCAUGAUGUGGUUAUUCGGGGGUGAGGGUGUGGUGGAGUGGGGCGAGGGAGAGAAAAUUCGCAGUUAUCUAAUUUUUUUCUCUUAACUCCAAGGGUCCAUUAUUGUCUGUUCCUGGGCUGAACAAUGGAUGGUACCUGAAGUUUGUUUUGUGUAAAUAACUGGCUUGGGAGGUGCCCUCCCUGCCCGCUUGCUUCACUACUGAUACUACAGUUUCCCUACAGUUACAGUUUUCUCUCUGUGUGUGUGUACACACAUAUGUUUCACACACACCUCAUAACCAUAACCUGUAGACCUCUUAUAAUGGACAUCACAUUUAUGGAAGCUUGUAACAUUCAAAGACCUUACUUGACAUUUGUAUAUACAAUGAAAUUAUAUAGAACCAGUUGAUUUCAAUUGCUUAUUCUUUGGGGUUCAGGCCCCCUGUUCUCCCCUUGGGGUGUCUGGACCCUAAUUGUCACAAGCCCCCUGACACAAACCCAGAUAGGUGGCAUUGUGGGGGGUGGGGGUGGGGAGGAAAGUUGCAUUGACUGGGGGCAACAUGGAGACUGCAGGAGGCUGAAUGUAAAGACGAGAAACUGUCUGAAAGAAGCUGCCAGAUAUAGGACAUCCAUAUGGAACUCCUUCUAUGCACACAGCAGUAGUUCCCAGCUGAGGCAGGAGCUGGACAAGGCAAUAACCAUCCAUAUCCCAGGAUGCCAUUCUCACUCUGACCUAGUCUUAUUGAGUGAGUGUUUCCCAGUGGGAGGGAUAGGAUCCUUCUGGGGAAAUCAAAUUAUUUGGACUUCUGAGGAAAGAUGGGAUUUCUGUGGGGCACCUGUAGAUACAGGUCUUGG
Non-coding RNA from Chrysemys picta bellii (western painted turtle), 5857 nucleotides. Lineage: Eukaryota; Metazoa; Chordata; Testudines; Emydidae. The record is from RefSeq and is a predicted model, not a curated record.